This 33-nucleotide ribosomal RNA is filed under the name Hemicriconemoides ortonwilliamsi. Its description in RNAcentral is "partial 28S ribosomal RNA". The record is from RNAcentral. Lineage: Eukaryota; Metazoa; Nematoda; Chromadorea; Rhabditida; Criconematidae.
UUCGACCUGAACUCAGACGUGAAUACCCGCUGA